GCCAGGUAUGGUGGUGCAUACCUGUAGUCUCAGCUACUCGGGAGGCUGAGGGAGGAGGAUUGCUUGACCCCAGGAGUUUGAGGCUGCAGUGAGCUAUGAUUGCACCACUGCACUCCAGCCUGGGUGACAGAGCGAGACCCUGCCUCUA
Molecule: non-coding RNA, 148 nt
Filed under: Pan paniscus (pygmy chimpanzee)
Lineage: Eukaryota; Metazoa; Chordata; Mammalia; Primates; Hominidae
Also listed under: 1 other name
Source: Rfam by way of RNAcentral